This 274-nucleotide ribosomal RNA is filed under the name Bacillus subtilis. RNAcentral describes it as "partial 16S rRNA". It matches the Rfam family "Bacterial small subunit ribosomal RNA", at positions 68 to 334 of the family's 1533-position model. Lineage: Bacteria; Bacillati; Bacillota; Bacilli; Caryophanales; Bacillaceae. The record is from RNAcentral.
GACAGAUGGGAGCUUGCUCCUGAUGUUAGCGGCGGACGGGUGAGUAACACGUGGGUAACCUGCCUGUAAGACUGGGAUAACUCCGGGAAACCGGGGCUAAUACCGGAUGGUUGUUUGAACCGCAUGGUUCAAACAUAAAAGGUGGCUUCGGCUACCACUUACAGAUGGACCCGCGGCGCAUUAGCUAGUUGGUGAGGUAACGGCUCACCAAGGCAACGAUGCGUAGCCGACCUGAGAGGGUGAUCGGCCACACUGGGACUGAGACACGGCCCAG